UACGUAGGGAGCAAGCGUUGUCCGGAAUCAUUGGGCGUAAAGCGCGCGUAGGUGGCCUCAUAAGUCCGCUGUGAAAGUCAAAGGCUCAACCUUUGAAAGCCGGUGGAUAGUGUGAGGCUAGAGUACGGAAGAGGCGAGUGGAAUUCCUGGUGUAGCGGUGGAAUGCGCAGAUAUCAGGAGGAACACCAAUAGCGAAGGCAGCUCGCUGGGACGUUACUGACACUGAGGCGCGAAAGCGUGGGGAGCGAACAGG
Molecule: ribosomal RNA, 253 nt
Filed under: uncultured bacterium
Lineage: Bacteria
Description: partial 16S ribosomal RNA
Rfam family: Bacterial small subunit ribosomal RNA
Source: RNAcentral